UUGUUCGAGCGAAGUGGAAAGCCACGAUGAAGAAGUUUGCUCCUGUUGGCUUCCUGUUGCUUCUGAUCACCUUCUGUCAUGGGAGGUUCCCUAACUCCCUGCACACAGAAGCGAGUCAUUGGCGUAAAUUACCCUGCCCGAACCCCGAAGACAUCUUGCCUUGCACAUGCACUGCGGACCAAGAUAAUCGAGUGGACUUGGAUUGUUCGCUAGUGGCGAGCGAGGAAGAACUGGAGAGGGUGUUCUCGGCGAUCUUUCCCUUCAGUACGUUCCGAAACUUCACCCUCGUUGAUAACGCUUAUCUGAAGACCUUGACGGACCAAUCCCUCGGCAUCGCCUCCUUCACGGGCGUGUACAUCAUGAACAGCGUGCUGGAGAGGGUGGAAUCCAACGCCCUUCUGAACAGCUCUGGCACAGCUCAGGUGAUCAACAUGCAGAAUAACUUAUUGUCUUCGUUUCCCUUCGAAACCCUGUCCUCUUUCAGCAGCCUCGUGGAGCUCGACCUCAGUGACAACAAGCUUGCUUUUCCUGCCCUCGGGUCCGAGUCGCUGCUCAUACUCGACCUGUCCAACAACCUGGUCGACAGCGUCUCCGCCACGGCCUUCUCGGAUACGCCGGAGAUCUCGGAAAUUAAUCUCGGAGGAAACCAAAUAAGUCAAAUUCCUACAGGCACCUUCGCGGGGCACCAUAACUUGUACCACGUGAACCUAGAAUCGAACGCGCUGACCUACCUUCCCGAGGGCGCCAUACAGCUGACCUCCAGCAGUUCGGGGACGGUCAUUCUGCGGAAUAACCAGAUCGCAGAUGUUGCUGUUAAUUGUAUAACAGAUGUGUCCGGCGGCAACGUGGACGUCAGCAACAAUUCUUUGAAGGCUUUGAAGGAGGACGUUUUCCGACCUAUUCUGGAUGAACACACGGCUCUCGACAUCAAAAACAACCCGUUGACCUGCGGCUGCGACAUCGCGUGGCUGAUCCGCGACUCCUCCCUGCUGAAGCUGGUGGCGGAGGGCGCCGCCUGCUUCGACCACGAGCUGCUCGUCGACCUCGACCCCGGGAUUUUCGACGACAUGGGAUGCCCCUAGGGGUGGGGAUUCGCUGCUUCGGUUGCCGUCUGUGUCCAGGGGCGUGUCUAGGGGCGUGUCUUAGGGCGUGUCCGAGGAGGGGGGAGGUAAUCUUCCUCGACUGGAGUUCGCAGGCCAGCGUCUCCCUCGCCACGGCGCCGAUCUUCCUCUCCGUUGCUCUUAUAGCUUUCAGUUUCAAUUAACAUAUCUUUAUAGUCGGUUGUUGAUUAACAUGUAAAAUAAAAUAUGAUACCCGGUAAACAGUGUGAAUAAAAAGGAGAAACAUAUGUUCCAAAACUGAAAUCAUAUCCUUGAUUUAAUUCGCAGCUUUUCAGAAUGUAUUUCGGAAUGUAUAAAAACAAAUCAAACUAGU
Molecule: unclassified non-coding RNA, 1434 nt
Filed under: Penaeus chinensis
Lineage: Eukaryota; Metazoa; Arthropoda; Malacostraca; Decapoda; Penaeidae
Description: oplophorus-luciferin 2-monooxygenase non-catalytic subunit-like, transcript variant X1
Source: RNAcentral